UUGCUUCUCUUGAGAGCGGCGGACGGGUGAGUAAUGCCUAGGAAUCUGCCUGGUAGUGGGGGAUAACGUUCGGAAACGGACGCUAAUACCGCAUACGUCCUACGGGAGAAAGCAGGGGACCUUCGGGCCUUGCGCUAUCAGAUGAGCCUAGGUCGGAUUAGCUAGUUGGUGGGGUAAUGGCUCACCAAGGCGACGAUCCGUAACUGGUCUGAGAGGAUGAUCAGUCACACUGGAACUGAGACACGGUCCAGACUCCUACGGGAGGCAGCAGUGGGGAAUAUUGGACAAUGGGCGAAAGCCUGAUCCAGCCAUGCCGCGUGUGUGAAGAAGGUCUUCGGAUUGUAAAGCACUUUAAGUUGGGAGGAAGGGUUGUAGAUUAAUACUCUGCAAUUUUGACGUUACCGACAGAAUAAGCACCGGCUAACUCUGUGCCAGCAGCCGCGGUAAUACAGAGGGUGCAAGCGUUAAUCGGAAUUACUGGGCGUAAAGCGCGCGUAGGUGGUUUGUUAAGUUGGAUGUGAAAUCCCCGGGCUCAACCUGGGAACUGCAUUCAAAACUGACUGACUAGAGUAUGGUAGAGGGUGGUGGAAUUUCCUGUGUAGCGGUGAAAUGCGUAGAUAUAGGAAGGAACACCAGUGGC
RNAcentral lists this ribosomal RNA (640 nucleotides) under uncultured bacterium. RNAcentral describes it as "bacterial SSU rRNA". It matches the Rfam family "Bacterial small subunit ribosomal RNA", at positions 80 to 716 of the family's 1533-position model. The record is from RNAcentral.